AGCUUGUAGGCGGUUUGUCGCGUCUGCCGUGAAAAUUCGAGGCUCAACCUCGAACUUGCGGUGGGUACGGGCAGACUAGAGUGUGGUAGGGGAGACUGGAAUUCCUGGUGUAGCGGUGAAAUGCGCAGAUAUCAGGAGGAACACCGAUGGCGAAGGCAGGUCUCUGGGCCACUACUGACGCUGAGAAGCGAAAGCAUGGGGAGCGAACAGGAUUAGAUACCCUGGUAGUCCAUGCCGUAAACGUUGGGAACUAGGUGUGGGUCUCAUUCCACGAGAUCCGUGCCGCAGCUAACGCAUUAAGUUCCCCGCCUGGGGAGUACGGCCGCAAGGCUAAAACUCAAAGGAAUUGACGGGGGCCCGCACAAGCGGCGGAGCAUGCGGAUUAAUUCGAUGCAACGCGAAGAACCUUACCAAGGCUUGACAUAUGCGAGAACGCGGCAGAGAUGUCGUUCUCUUUGGACACUCGCAUACAGGUGGUGCAUGGUUGUCGUCAGCUCGUGUCGUGAGAUGUUGGGUUAAGUCCCGCAACGAGCGCAACCCUCGUUCUAUGUUGCCAGCACGUGAUGGUGGGGACUCAUAGGAGACUGCCGGGGUCAACUCGGAGGAAGGUGGGGAUGACGUCAAAUCAUCAUGCCCCUUAUGUCUUGGGCUUCACGCAUGCUACAAUGGCCGGUACAAAGGGCUGCGAUACCGCGAGGUGGAGCGAAUCCCAAAAAACCGGUCUCAGUUCGGAUUGGGGUCUGCAACUCGACCCCAUGAAGUCGGAGUCGCUAGUAAUCGCAGAUCAGCAACGCUGCGGUGAAUACGUUCCCGGGCCUUGUACACACCGCCCGUCAAGUCACGAAAGUCGGUAACACCCGAAGCCGGUGGCCCAACUCUUUGAGAGGGAGCCGUCGAAGGUGGGACUGGCGAUUGGGACUAAGUCGUAACAAGGUAGCCGUACCGGAAGGUGCGGCUGGAUCACCUCCUUUCUA
Molecule: ribosomal RNA, 974 nt
Filed under: Salmonella enterica
Lineage: Bacteria; Pseudomonadati; Pseudomonadota; Gammaproteobacteria; Enterobacterales; Enterobacteriaceae
Description: bacterial SSU rRNA
Rfam family: Bacterial small subunit ribosomal RNA
Source: RNAcentral